RNAcentral lists this ribosomal RNA (373 nucleotides) under uncultured organism. Its description in RNAcentral is "partial 16S ribosomal RNA". It matches the Rfam family "Bacterial small subunit ribosomal RNA", at positions 527 to 896 of the family's 1533-position model. The record is from RNAcentral.
GUAGGGUCCAAGCGUUAAUCGGGAAUUACUGGGGCGUAAAGCGUGCGCAGGCGGUUGUGCAAGACCGAUGUGAAAUCCCCCGGGGCUUAACCUGGGAAUUGCAUUGGUGACUGCACGGCUAGAGUGUGUCAGAGGGGGGUAGAAUUCCACGUGUAGCAGUGAAAUGCGUAGAGAUGUGGAGGAAUACCGAUGGCGAAGGCAGCCCCCUGGGAUAACACUGACGCUCAUGCACGAAAGCGUGGGGAGCAAACAGGAUUAGAUACCCUGGUAGUCCACGCCCUAAACGAUGUCAACUAGUUGUUGGGGAUUCAUUUCCUUAGUAACGUAGCUAACGCGUGAAGUUGACCGCCUGGGGAGUACGGUCGCAAGAUUA